CUUCCUAUCUGCCUCAUGAGGAAGUUUGUUUUGUCCUCUCUUUAUAGGAUUUACAUAGUGCAUUCCUUUAUCUCUGGGAUUCACCUUGAACACUUCCUGUGUGCUGACCUCUGGGGUGGGCGGGGACAGUGUAGGCGAGGAACAGGUGUGGGCAGACAGGAAGUCUGUUUGGGACUUGUGUGAGGAGUCUGGGGACAUCGGAGUACACAUGUCCCAAGGCUAGUGGCUUUGGGGUCAGAGCGGGUCUGGCUGGAGACGGAGGUUUGGCUUACCAGCAUCCGGUGGCAGCUAAAGUGGCUGGGUGGGUAGAGUUACCAAGGGAACUGCUUGUCAUGGGUCCUGGGAGGGGGCGGAGGUCAGGCCCUGGAGGCUACAGCAGAGAGCUGGGCACAGGGCAGGGAUGGGCCACCACUCAGCCAGGGCUCCAGUGGCCAAGAGAAACGGGCCUGGGAUGGGGUCACUGCGUGGUGUUCGUGGCGGGUGUCAAGACCUUUGCUUUGGCAGGCUGGGUGUGGGGGUCUGUGGGAAAGAUGGGCCUUCGGAUGAGGAGGCAGUAAUUACUGCAGAGGUGCUAGGCAUCAAAGAAGGUGGUCAGUCAGCUUGGCAUCCUCUUUUCUUUUUGGCCUCACAGUGAGGUAUGUGGGAUCUUCAAUGUUUCCUGACCAGGGAUUGAACCCAUGCCCUCUACAGUGGAAGUGUGGAGUCUUUACCGCUGGAUCGCCAUGAAAGUUCUAGCUUGGCCUUCUCUCAUUCUCAUGAUUUCGUGCAUAUGGGAGGCUGGUGCUGAGUCAUCUGCUUGGGCUGAAAACUCAGAAGCAUCCACCAGACUUGUGGCUUUCCCUUCUCUACUCAGGUUGCCCCCAGCGGUGCACUGGUAACAACUGGCGGUCCAGAAAAAGGGGGUGAGGUGGGGAUAUAGCGUUUGCCAGUUCCUGUGUUUGUAAAUUCUCCCACCAAGGACAUCACCCUACUAAUGUGAUGUCAUUGAACAUGGAGUUGGGAAGAGAUGCACAGUGGGAUUCCAUCUUUAUAGUAAAAUUCAGUAAAAUAAUAGUAAGUGAUAAGUUUUGAGUAUGUCUUCCCUUUGAUUUGUAAAUAUUUUUCAUAUUUAUUUAUUAUUUUUGGCUGCACUGGGUCUUUGUUGCUGGGCAAGUGCUUUCUCUAGUUAUGGCGAGUAGGGGCUCCUCUUUGUUGUGAUGGCUUCUCUCAUUGCCAAGUACAGGCUCUAGGCACCUGGGUUUCGGUAGUUGCAGCUCCUGGGCCCUAGAGCACAAGCUCAGAAGCUGUGGCACCUGGGCUUAGUUGCCCCGUGGCAUGUGGGAUCUUCCCAGAUCAGGAAUGGAAUCCGUGUCCCCUGCAUUGGCAGGUGGAUUCUUAACCGCUGGACCACCAGGGAAGCCUCCCCCUCUCUGUUUUUAAUAUAGUUUAUUUAAUUGUCAUCUUGGUUCAGGCUGUCUCACCAUCAGCACGGUUAACAUUUGGCCUUGAGGUUCUUUGUUGGGGGCAGGGAGGGGGCUGAGCUUCAUUGCACGCACAGCAUCCCUAACCUCCACCCGCUAGACACCAGUAGCACCCCUCCCCCAAGUCGUGACCAUCCAGAUGUCUCCAGACACAGCCAUAUGUCCCCUGGGGGGAGCAAAUUUAACCCAGUGGACAGUUACAUAAACCCCAGUAGACAGCCAUUGGCAAUGUUUAACAACUAGAUCACAGAAUUCCUACAAGUGUGACAGUUGGCUCUGAAUGAGCCUGUACCAGCCAGUUUCAGCACAUUAUGACCACUGUGUCUGGCUAAAUAUAAGGCCUAGGUUUUUCUCUCCACAAUUCUUUCUCUGGAAAGAGCCGCUACCCUAAGCUGUAGCUGUCAGUCUGGACAGAGGGCUCUCUGACUGCGGAGGGCUCUCAGCCCCUGACUGGUCCCCAGAGUGGUUGAUGAAGCAUUGGAGACCCACCACUGUGCUGAACUGUUCUGAUGUUCUAUGAAAUGUGAGAAUGGUGAGGGAAGUAAUACUUCUGAAUUAAUAUUUAGUUUUAAUAUAAUAUGCUCUUCCCCAAAAGUUUAUAUGUUCAAAUUGGAAAAACAAACAAACAAACAAACAACUCUGUCUCCCCAAAAGCCUCAAGCAAAUAAAAUUUUAGAUAAAGUCUUCCCACAGGGAGAAUCCUGGCUGCUGCAUGUCUGGGGCCGCCCUGCAUGUAAGGUGCUCCUGUUAAGGUUGCACACACCCAUGUCUCAUUCUGGAGGCCAGGCUGUCCACCUCUGAUUCGCCUCUUGGCUCAGGUACUGCUUUUACCCAUCUUCAAGCUCAGCGGUCGGCUUUUGUUUAUUUGUUUAUUCAUUCAUUCAAAAUAUUUACUCAGCACCAAUUAUAUACCAAGGAAGAUGAUGGAGAAAGGGGUUCCUGCUCUCUAGAGUUUGUCAGUAUUUCAGCUCCAUGCCGUCCACUGGGGAGCGGACAUGUGCAGGCUCAUGUGGGUGCUGAGGGGACAUGGACAGAGUGGAGGAGGGGAAGAGAGACGUGUGUGUGUGUGUGUGUGUGUGUGUAGGAUGGCGGUUGUGUGCCUGGAGCCGAGCUGGGCACACCAUACACUGAAUCAUCCUACUCGCCUGCUGUGCUUCUAACAGAGGGUUUUGUUUCUUGGUCGAGGAUCUCUCUCUCUCUCCCCCUGCUCCAGAGUGUAGGUGCUCUGGAGACAGGACACAGGGGCCUGUAUCUCCUGGAGGUAAGAACAGUGUCAGGCUCAGAGAUUGGAGAAACAAAAGGAAUCAAAAAGCAAGGAGGAAAAAAAAAAAAAAGCAAGGAGGAGAGUAGCCAAGAUGGGUGGCAAGAGGGAAGGAGGAAGGGGUCAGGGCAAGGCCACUUUAAGCUGAAGCAGUCAGGGAAGGCUUCUUGGAUGAGGUGGUAUUUGGGAGGAAGGAUGGGAGGGACUGCAGUGGGGGAACCGGUGGAAAGGCUGGUGCAGAGAGAGGGAAUAGCAGGGUGUGUCCCUGGAGAUUUCCGGAACGUGAGGGUCUAAACUAGGAAAAGAAUAUCAUAAACUGCUGUUUUCUAUCCAAGACAGGGAGGGAGACAGCCAACUAAAAAAUCUUCUCUCUCUCCAGUGGAGGUAACAUACCCAUCCUGGCCCACCUAAGGGACAUCUGGGCAAGAACUCUCCACUGGGCUCUGGAGGGAAGGCAGAGUGAUAAUAACAAUAGUCAUCACCGUAGCGACGUCCGCUUCCCUUUAUCAUUCCCUACUAGGUCCCAAGGCUUUGUAUAUGCCUUCACCUGUGGGGUAGACAUCAACCCCAUUUUCCAGACAACUGAAAGCAUGCUUCAGAGAGGAAGCGAAAGUCAAGGUCACGCAGGACCCAGGCGGGGUCUGCUUGCUUCAGCGUCCACACUGUUUCCUCUGCCAGCACCCUUCCCUUCCUGCCUCUCGAGAAGGCUGGACAGCAUUCAAGUGUGGUCUGUGGGCUCUCUGGGAUCCAGCUGUCGGCCUGCUUGGUGAAAUUUUUAUUAGCCUUUGAUUUUUGGACCUCCGGUUUUAUGGGUUACUAGAAAAUGGGCCAGGCUUCUUUAAGAAACUCCCCACCUACCUCCGUGGCCACCUGGUGGCUUUUCUCCUCCCUCCCUCUGCAGCUCCUGAAAGUAUUCACAAAUACAGAUCAUGGCUAGAAAAGUGGACACAUGAAUGUGGGCAGGAGGCUGGAGCAAUAGCUGUGUGCCUCGGAGCCUGUGAGAAGUCUGAAGUCCUGGAGCUCGACUUGGCCAGACCCCCAUCCACUGCCCCUCACCCCUCAGGCCUGUACCCAGAGAACCAGCAGCUUGGGGCUCUGCUGGUCUGCGACUCUGGGCACACCAGUCUCUCUGGGCUUUAGUUUCCUGGCCCAGGUGCAAGAUUCUUCUCUCCCUUGGGCUUCAGUGUCUCCAUCUGGGAAAUAAAGCGGGCUGCACACUCUCCAAAUCUG
Molecule: long non-coding RNA, 3951 nt
Organism: Bubalus bubalis (water buffalo)
Lineage: Eukaryota; Metazoa; Chordata; Mammalia; Artiodactyla; Bovidae
Exons: 2
Source: RefSeq, a predicted model, not a curated record